This 437-nucleotide unclassified non-coding RNA is filed under the name Hevea brasiliensis (rubber tree). Lineage: Eukaryota; Viridiplantae; Streptophyta; Magnoliopsida; Malpighiales; Euphorbiaceae. The record is from RNAcentral.
UGACCCUUCUGCAGAUGGAUGCUAAACUACCAAUGGAUAUUUUUGAAAAUGUCAUGCAAUUAGCAGUUGAAGGCUGCAAAGCAGUAGAAAGCCACAUCCGAGAAAUAUUGUUAGAAAAUGCUCAGACAUUGGUCAUUCGCCAAGGGUAUGGCUCUUAACAGGCCGAGGAAUUUUUAUUGAGUCUUUGCAAUACCUGAAGGAAAAAAGGAGUCCUGGAUUUGCUGCUGCAAUUUUUUUUUAAAACAAUGGUUGAUCAAAAUGUAUUAAGAGUACUAUUCAGCCAGAGCUUGUGGAAAAAUGAUUUCUCCUAAUGUAUUCUUCACUUUGCCUAUGGUCUUUUUUUGCUAUGUCACGCUGCUUUUAGGGUGUGUAUUUAUGGAAAUUGAUGAUUAAUGUACAAGUUAAAAGUUAUUGGAAUAAAGGAACAAGGCUUUGCA